Bicyclus anynana (squinting bush brown) is the source of this 4102-nucleotide long non-coding RNA. RefSeq lists it as uncharacterized. Lineage: Eukaryota; Metazoa; Arthropoda; Insecta; Lepidoptera; Nymphalidae. The record is from RefSeq and is a predicted model, not a curated record. The transcript has 7 exons.
UAUAUGUACUAAAGGCAGGUAGAGUAAAGUUUGAGUUUUAUUUUUGAAUCUAUAAUAAGUAGUUUAUAAUAAUGUAAUGAUGAACCAGAACAAUUUGUUAAUUUGAAACUACAAUUACAAGUUUUUAUAAUUAUGUUAGGCAUUAGGCAGACUAAUGAAGAGUAUGUUACUUUACUUUGUACGAAAAUCUGUUCUUUGACAUGAUUAUAGAAUAAGAUGAUAAGUGAUGAUGCAAUCUAAGAUGGAAGCGAGAUAACUAGUUAGGCAAAGGAUGAAAAUCCACACGCAUUUCUGUUUCUACAUAGUAUCUCACCGGAACACUAAAUCGCUUGCCAGUAGGGUAUUAACUAGCCAGCCAGACAUAGACCAGAAAGAAAACCUCAAUCGGCCCAGCCGGGGAUACCCUGGACUUUUGCGUAGUUAAUCCACUGUGCUAUGGAGGCCAUUUCGGCAAUAUUUUUCUUGCCUUGAUCUAUAAAAGCUUUUGCCAAUAAUAAGCUACAUUUUUCAUUGAAGGUUGUUUGAAAGAAAUAGCUUUUAGCUAUAAGACCUAAGCUUUGCACAUUUUACUUUUUUUUUUCUUUUUGACAAUGUAGCUUCUGUGAACAGUUGAGGAAUUCCCUCAUCUGUGUUUCUGUUCUAUCAUCAGAUUGCCUCCGGACAUUUUAGUUAUAUUUCUCACUUGGUUCUUGUCAAGGUUUUGUAAUAAAUAAUAAGGGAGAACAACACAAGUAGGGGAGUUUAAUCAAUUGUCAAGGAAUUCCUUAACCCUACAUCCUGUAGCCACAACUCCAGGACUCUGCUCGGAGUAUUUCUCUCUACCAGGCGAUGGACCUGGCACCUGCACGGAAUGCUAAGAUAUUCAUCUGUCUCUUCAUGCGUAGUAUGUUUAUGUAUUUUUAAUUAAAUUUACUCACUCUCUUUAUUUCAGUAAUGUCCAGAUAAUCAAUGAUUAGACCAUUGGACUUUUAGAAUAAAUUUUACAUUGAACUAUGAAUGGUUUGUCAUCUACAUUUUUAAAAAAGACGAGAUGUUUUGCCUGUGAGAAGAAGAGAGAGAGAGAAUAAGAAGCAAUCCUGCUUCUUCACAUGAAUUUUACCCGCAUGACGACGGUUUUUAAUAUAAAAAAAAAAAUUUACAAUGUCUCAAAAAGCAAUCAAAGCUUUGAAAAAUAAACAAUGUUCGCAGAAGUUCAAUACCAACAAACUCACAAAAAAUGAGCCCAAAUUUAGCAUUACUUGCAAGCCAGACUAAGAAAUUUCAAGAAGAUAAUUUAAAAGAAGACAAUAGAAUAAAAUAAUAUUAACACACAAUGCUUAGCAAAUAUAGCAUUAACAGAUGAAAACCAGGCAAUAGGUGUAGCAAAAUAGAAGAUGAAGGUCUAGCUGUGCCAGUGCUGAGCCACGCAGUUGCUACUGGCAUGUUUACAAAAUAGCACAAGGUGUGGCAAAAUAGAAGAUGAAGGUCUAGCUGUGCCAGUGCUGAGCCACACAGUUGCUACUGGCAUGUUUGCAAAAUAGCACAAGGUGUAGCAAAAUAGUAGAUGAAGGUCUAGCUGUGCCAGUGCUGAGCCACGCAGUUGCUACUGGCAUGUUUGCAAAAUAGCACAAGGUGCUGUAAAAUGAAGAUAUAUUGUUAAAUAUCAUGAGAUAGAAAUAAAAGAUGAAGAUCUAGCUGUACCCAUCCCGAGCCACACUACUGCAGCCACGUUGCUGCUGGCAAUUUUGCAAAAUAGCACAAGGUCACAACAAUUGAUGUAACAAAUAUAAUCAAUGGACCAGGCACCUGCACCAUGAUUCUUUGGAAUACUAAAAUUCGUCUCUUUAUGUCUGUACAUAAUUCUCAUAAUGAAAAAUGUCACGUUUUUAUGAAAGAAAUAAUGGAAUCAAAUAAUAAAUAAAACAAGCAUAUGCUGGAAGUCCUCAGAAACAGCUCCGACUUUGAUGUUUUUUUUUAAAGUCAUGUAGUUUAUGUUAUUUAAAAUCAGAAAUGUUUUGGUGGACGAAAUUAUUUAAAUUGUUAAAAAAUAUCUAUGCUAUUUAUACAUAUUUUUUUUAAAUACAACCGACUUCAAAAAUACAAACUUAUGCAGAAAACUAACAAACGAAAGAAAAUAUUAUAAUAUUCACUUUGAAGAUCACUUUGAAGACGGUGCUAAUGGUCCAAUUAAUGGGUCGACAAUUAGUUAUCUAUUGUUUUCCUAGCUAUAGGGUUCGAAUUGCUUUUUCAUAUCUUUAAAAGACUAUCUUCGGAAUGAACCCUUUAUAAUAAAAAAGUAUUAUCAAAAUCGGACCACUCAAUAAAAAGUUAUACUUGGUUGUAUACUAAAAUUAAUGGUUAAACAAUCAAUUAUCCCCUGUUUUCGUAAUGUAAAACCAAGCAUAACUGUUAACACGAGUAGUUCGAUUUUGAUAAUUGUUUUGAUUGAUCAUUCUUGAUUGUUUUAGUUUAAAACCAAGCAUGUCUUCGAAUUCCGAUUUGAAUAACUUUGUUUUAAAUAGAAAGGGUAUAUUCCGACAAUGGUCCCAAAUCAUUAUAAAUUUAAAAAAACGAAGAUGACUGGUUAUUUUCCCAUUAAUUGUAUUGUAAAACUAUGCGUAACUUAUUACGAAGUGGUCCGAUUUCGUAAAUUCUUUAUAGAUUGUAAAGGUAUUUUGAUUGUAAAGCUCCCAUAUAAAUUCUAAAAAACAAUUCCAAUCCUAAAUGUGCGAUUGAUUGUUUUCUCAUUCAUUUUAAUGUAAAACCAAGCAUAACUUUUUAUUGGGUGGUUCGAUUUUGAUUAUUCAUUUUUUGAUAGAAAGGGUAUAUUCCUAAAAGUCUCAUAAAAUGUUGGAAAACAAUUUCAAACCUAAUAGUAGGAAAAUAGAAGAUGAUUAAUUGUUUUCCCAUUUAUUGUAAUGUUAAACUUAACUUUUUACUGAGUGGACCGAUUUUGAAAAUUCUUUACUUUUUGUAAAGGGUUUAUUUCGAAGUAGGUCCCAUAUAAAUUUCGGAAAACAAUUCGAAUCCUUAAGAUGGAAAAAAACGGUACGAUUGAUUGCCUACCCAUUAAUUGUACAAUUGGCACCGGCUUCAAAGUAAUCAGUAGAUAGAAAAUAUUAUAAUGUUUUCUUCAGCUUAUUAGUUUACUGCAUAACUUUGUGUUUUUGAAGUCGGUAGUGUUUGUUUUUUAAUUAUUAUAUAAAUAGCAUAACUAUUGUUAAAUAGUAUAAAUCGUUCCAUCCUCAGUCCAAAAGGUUUCUGAUUUCAAAUAAUAUAAAGAAACAAACUGAACAAAAAUAAUCAUCAAAAUCAGAGCUGUUUCUGAGGAGGUAGAGGGUAAAUGCUCUAUUGAUUCGCCUAAAAGUAAUAUUAUGUUAUCGCAUUAGGUUGUAAAGUUUAGCUAAUGAAAGUAGAGAUUGAUAUUGCCCGCCAAAUUUAAAAAUCAUAUAAAUAAAUUAAAAAAACAUGCGUUUUCAUAAUUUAUUUAAAUUAGUUUUUCUUUGUGAAUACAUUAUUACCUUUACUAUAAGUGUUAAGCUCAGUUAUUCCAAUAUUUGCACUAUAAUUUUGAGAAUUUACUCCGAUUUUUUAAAAUUUGGCGGGUGAUUUCAGUUUCUACUUUCAUUAGCCAAAUUCUAAUAAUUUUAUUGUUUAUGAAAUUUAUACUAAUUAGAAAGAGGAAGAAUUUGAUUAUUUGUUUGUUUGCAUUGAAUAGGCUCUGAAACUACUUUGCUGAUUAAAAAAUUUCUUACAGCAUUAUAAUCAUGGAUUAGGCCAUAAUUGUUAUCUCUGUAUUCCCACGGGAACGAGAACUACAUUGUUGAAACUGCGUGACGUUUGCAUAGUUUAUCAUAUGUACAAAUAUCUCGACAAUCUAUAUUUUUAUGUAUGAAUUGGUUAAGUUAUAAUUGACUUGAUUUUCCCAAAUAUCUCAGUGAAGUCACCCAAUUGAUGCAUAGAUAUAUUUUUAUUUUGGUUUUCAUUUUACUUUAAAGAUAAAAUUUAGUUUUAGAAGCAAAAUGAAUAUAUGUAGAUUAUAUUUUAGGUGCUGAUGUUUACUUAGUUAUUGAUUAAGUGCAUAAGAUUUUUUAUUUGACAAUAAAGACAUUUCAACUUGAAA